CUUGAACGCUGGCGGCAGGCCUAACACAUGCAAGUCGAACGAGUGGCGGACGGGUGAGUAAUGUCUGGGAAACUGCCUGAUGGAGGGGGAUAACUACUGGAAACGGUAGCUAAUACCGCAUACCAUCGGAUGUGCCCAGAUGGGAUUAGCUAGUAGGUGGGGUAACGGCUAACCUCGGCGACGAUCCCUAGCUGGUCUGAGAGGAUGACCAGCCACACUGUAACUGAGAAACGGUACAGACGUCUACGGGAGGCAGCAGUGGGGAAUAUUGCACAAUGGGCUCAAGCCUGAUUCAGCCAUGCCGCGUGUAUGAAGAAGGCCUUCGGGUUGUAAAGUACUUUCAGCGGGGAGGCGUUACCCGCAGAAGAAGCACCGGCUAACUCCGGGCCAGCCGCCGCGGUAAUAC
RNAcentral lists this ribosomal RNA (406 nucleotides) under uncultured bacterium. Its description in RNAcentral is "partial 16S ribosomal RNA". It matches the Rfam family "Bacterial small subunit ribosomal RNA", at positions 30 to 526 of the family's 1533-position model. The record is from RNAcentral.